CACCGCGGUUAUACGAAAGACCCUAGUUGCUAGCCACGGCGUAAAGGGUGGUUAAGGGUAAAAAUUAAUAAAGCUAAAGACCCCCUAAGCUGUCAUACGCAUUACGGAGGCGCGAAGCCCCCACACGAAAGUAGCUUUAAAAAUACUCCUGACCCCACGAAAGCUAAGAAA
Molecule: ribosomal RNA, 171 nt
Filed under: Noturus insignis (margined madtom)
Lineage: Eukaryota; Metazoa; Chordata; Actinopteri; Siluriformes; Ictaluridae
Description: partial small subunit ribosomal RNA
Source: RNAcentral